Molecule: ribosomal RNA, 568 nt
Filed under: uncultured bacterium
Lineage: Bacteria
Description: bacterial SSU rRNA
Rfam family: Bacterial small subunit ribosomal RNA
Source: RNAcentral
GGGUAACCUGCCCAUCAGAAGGGGAUAACACUUGGAAACAGGUGCUAAUACCGUAUAACACUAUUUUCCGCAUGGAAGAAAGUUGAAAGGCGCUUUUGCGUCACUGAUGGAUGGACCCGCGGUGCAUUAGCUAGUUGGUGAGGUAACGGCUCACCAAGGCAACGAUGCAUAGCCGACCUGAGAGGGUGAUCGGCCACACUGGGACUGAGACACGGCCCAGACUCCUACGGGAGGCAGCAGUAGGGAAUCUUCGGCAAUGGACGAAAGUCUGACCGAGCAACGCCGCGUGAGUGAAGAAGGUUUUCGGAUCGUAAAACUCUGUUGUUAGAGAAGAACAAGGAUGAGAGUAAAACGUUCAUCCCUUGACGGUAUCUAACCAGAAAGCCGCGGCUAACUACGUGCCAGCAGCCGCGGUAAUACGUAGGUGGCAAGCGUUGUCCGGAUUUAUUGGGCGUAAAGCGAGCGCAGGCGGUUUCUUAAGUCUGAUGUGAAAGCCCCCGGCUCAACCGGGGAGGGUCAUUGGAAACUGGGAGACUUGAGUGCAGAAGAGGAGAGUGGAAUUCCAUGU